AGGAAUUAAGAAUUAGGAGUUAAAUUCCCCUCUCCUUGUUAAGGAGAGGGGUGUCGGUCGGACGGGGUGAGUUUUCAAUCAACCCAAAUUCUC
This 93-nucleotide transfer RNA is filed under the name Calothrix parasitica NIES-267. RNAcentral's name for it is "tRNA-Asn". The record is from RNAcentral. Lineage: Bacteria; Bacillati; Cyanobacteriota; Cyanophyceae; Nostocales; Calotrichaceae.